UAUGCAAAAGAUGUAUAGAAACACACACUAAAAAAUCAGUAUGGAAGUAAAGCUGAAGGAAGAGCUUAAAGCAGAAAUGUGUUCCUAUUGACAAGGCAACAAUUGAAUCAAACCAAACAGAGCAAAGAGUGGAGGAAAAUGGAAGAAGUCAUGGACAUAACAGAAAACAUAUGACC
Saccostrea echinata is the source of this 176-nucleotide long non-coding RNA. RefSeq lists it as uncharacterized. The transcript is spliced from 3 exons. NCBI's taxonomy places the organism in Eukaryota, Metazoa, Mollusca, Bivalvia, Ostreida, Ostreidae. The record is from RefSeq and is a predicted model, not a curated record.